GGGGUGCACGUGCAACGGAGACACCGCCCCUAAACCUGGGGCCCUGAGGCUAACAGCUAACAGUGGCCCUGCCGUUACGGCCAGUGUCAGGUGCCAGCUGGGCUGGACCAGGAAUUCCCAGAAACCUGGCAAGGCAUGAUUUGGGGUGGGUCGUGCUGAGGGCCACACCAUCCGCUUCCCCGCUUCUGAGGCCUUCCGACCUGGGCUGAGCCCGGCUACCCGAGUCCCGGGGUCUCCGGCUCACAGACUUCUCGGCCUCCGUAAUUGCAAACGCCAGCUCCCCCAGUCCAUCUCCUGUCCUGGAUCUACGUCUAUAUCCUACUGGAUCCGUCUCUCUGGAGAACCCUAAUACAGCUGUCAACACAAGGAUGAACUAACUACAAGAAGGCCUGAAUAGGAACUCUCCCAGGGGACGAAGAGGUUUCAGCCUUCAGCAAAGGAUGGUUCAUAGAAACCGUUCGCAUAGUCGGCCCUCCACGGACUGCAACCCUAGUUAAUAUUACCUACAGUAAACAAAAAAUUCAAGUAUAGAUUUUAGUCUAAAGCAAAUAGGAAAUGUCGCUUCCCUGGACGUUGGGAGAAGCAAACACGAAUCCUCUCCUGAGGCCGGAAGCGGUGGCUCACGCCUGUAAUCCCAGCACUUUGGGAGGCUGAGGCGGGCGGAUCAUUUUAUAACUAUCUAUUAAAUGUUUAAGUUUUCAGUCCAUUUUUCCUGUCUACAUGGAAUUGCCGACUGCACAAAGAACACAUGAGGGCUCUCUCAAGGCCAUCAUUUCCGCGGAGUCCCAUUUCCUGACUCAAAUGACAAGCUCUCAACUUUCUACUCAAGAUCAUUGAAACAUCUGUGUUGAUUAUUUGUAACCGGGAUAUGCUUUAUUUAUUAGAUAAGAGACUAACCGUUG
RNAcentral lists this long non-coding RNA (902 nucleotides) under Homo sapiens (human). RNAcentral describes it as "HSALNT0392281". The record is from RNAcentral. Lineage: Eukaryota; Metazoa; Chordata; Mammalia; Primates; Hominidae.